RNAcentral lists this long non-coding RNA (373 nucleotides) under Homo sapiens (human). Its description in RNAcentral is "long non-coding RNA NONHSAT160217.1". Lineage: Eukaryota; Metazoa; Chordata; Mammalia; Primates; Hominidae. The record is from RNAcentral.
ACAGGACACAGGCAAGCUCACAAGAAACUGCCUCGUAGGGCUGAGUGAAAUUUGCUGAUAGAGCUGCAGAAUCACAUUCCUCAAAGACAGGAAGGAGCUUAAGGGAGAGGCCUGAUGGGAUUUGGAGAGCUGCCUGUUUCCUCUGCACUGCAGGAUGGGAUUGAGCGUGCCCCUGGCUGAGGAAGGAGGGCACAAGGACGCUGCGGCCGACAGGCCAGGACUCUGCACCUUAGGUGCAGGAGAGGAGGUGACAGGAAGCUGAGGCUUGGCUGGCCACAUGCAGUUUCCAUAGGCAAGCCGUGGCUCAGCUGGCUCUUCCGCUCCAAGUCUCACAAGGCUGCAAUCAAGGUGUCAGCCUGGGCUACAGUGUGAU